Camelus ferus (Wild Bactrian camel) is the source of this 72-nucleotide transfer RNA. It matches the Rfam family "tRNA". From Rfam's summary of the family: Transfer RNA (tRNA) molecules are approximately 80 nucleotides in length. Their secondary structure includes four short double-helical elements and three loops (D, anti-codon, and T loops). NCBI's taxonomy places the organism in Eukaryota, Metazoa, Chordata, Mammalia, Artiodactyla, Camelidae. The record is from Rfam.
GAUGGUAUAGCUGAGUGGUAGAGCAUGUACCUAGCAUGCACAGGGUCCUGGGUUCAAUUCCCAGUAUCUCCA